AAUCAACGCUGGCGGCGUGCCUCAGACAUGCAAGUCGAACGAUUAAAGCUCUCUUCGGAGAGUGCAUAGAGUGGCGCACGGGUGAGUAACACGUAAGUAAUCUACCCUCGAGUGGGGAAUAACGUCCGGAAACGGACGCUAAUACCGCAUAAUGCAGCGGCACCGCAAGGUGACAGUUGUUAAAGGAGAAAUUCGCUUGAGGAGGAGCUUGCGGCAGAUUAGCUUGUUGGUAAGGUAACGGCUUACCAAGGCUACGAUCUGUAACCGGUCUUAGAGGACGGUCGGUCACACUGACACUGAAUAACGGGUCAGACUCCUACGGAGGCAGCAGUCGGGAAUUUUGGGCAAUGGGCGAAAGCCUGACCCAGCAACGCCGCGUGAAGGAUGAAGUAUUUCGGUAUGUAAACUUCGAAAGAAUAGGAAGAAUAAAUGACGGUACUAUUUAUAAGGUCCGGCUAACUACGUGCCAGCAGCCGCUGUAAG
Molecule: ribosomal RNA, 483 nt
Filed under: uncultured bacterium
Lineage: Bacteria
Description: bacterial SSU rRNA
Rfam family: Bacterial small subunit ribosomal RNA
Source: RNAcentral